Molecule: ribosomal RNA, 88 nt
Filed under: Citrobacter freundii
Lineage: Bacteria; Pseudomonadati; Pseudomonadota; Gammaproteobacteria; Enterobacterales; Enterobacteriaceae
Also listed under: 16 other names
Description: partial 16S ribosomal RNA
Rfam family: Bacterial small subunit ribosomal RNA
Source: RNAcentral
AAAUUGAAGAGUUUGAUCAUGGCUCAGAUUGAACGCUGGCGGCAGGCCUAACACAUGCAAGUCGAACGGUAGCACAGAGAGCUUGCUC